Molecule: long non-coding RNA, 4490 nt
Organism: Antechinus flavipes (yellow-footed antechinus)
Lineage: Eukaryota; Metazoa; Chordata; Mammalia; Dasyuromorphia; Dasyuridae
Exons: 2
Source: RefSeq, a predicted model, not a curated record
UCCGGCCCCAAGGCCCUGACGGGGGCUCCCUCCCCAAGGCCCUGAUGGGGGCUCCCGCCCCAAGGCUCACGGGGGCUCCCGCCCCAGGGCUCAUGGGGGCUCCCGCCCCAAGGCUCACGGGGGCUCCAGCCCCAAGGCUCACAGGGGCUCCCACCCCAAGGCCCUGAUGGGGGCUCCCGCCCCAAGGCCCGGACAGGGGGCUCCCGCCCCAAGGCUCACGGGGGCUCCCGCCCUGCCCGGGGACUCGGAGCUCGGCGCGGUCCCUUUCUGGCCUCCCACCAUCUUGGCUCCUGCCAAGGCUUGUGCGGGGGGGGCAAGGGGGGCGCCUUCCUCACACCCGGCGCCUCUCCCCUAGGUGGACAAAGAGUGACCCCCAUGUGGGCGCUGGAAGAGUCUCCAGGAAGGAGGCUGCGCCCUCCGAGGCAGGGCUGAUGGCGGCCCUUCCUUGUCUAAGGUGUCCGGCCGCACCCCACCAACGACAAACCGGGGAGAGCCUGCCCAGCGGCCGGCGCAGACCACCUGCAGUCAACUCAGAUGGAGGGGGAGGGGGAGGUCAGUCGGUGGUGUGAGGGCUGGGGAAGACCCCUACCCAAAAUGACUACUCAGAGAUCCCUCAGUAGAAGCAGAAAAGUUGUUUAUUGAAAACCUCCGGAGGAUGAGCCGUCCCAUCGCGAGAUAAGAAAGAGAGAGCUCGGGGGAGGAGGCCUAAAGAAGUAGGAAAGAUACCCAGCUCUUACACAAGAGAUCACAUCCCCAGUGAGAGAGCACUGAGAAGGGGAGGGGGAGGCGGCUCACUGCUUGUGGCUAUUCGGGGAGAUGGCAGUGGAAGGUUUCUGUUUCCCGGAAACCUCCUGAUUUCUAGGAAACAAAGUCAGGCCUUCAGGCUUAAUCCAGCAGACAGUGUCAAAUACCGAUAAAUGUCAUCAGCUCAGGUUAAGGAAAUACGCUUCCAGCUGGCCAAGGCUGGAGGACAUAGGAGCCUGCCCAUGUUAUACAGGUCGUGGGGGAGACACAGGAACAAUGAAACACAGAAAAAGGACUCACACGUCCCGUAAGUUCUUCCCUUGUCCGGUCCCCGCAGUGGCGAAGAACGGGCCGGCCCGGAAAAGGAGUCGGACGUGUCCGGGCCGUGGUGGGGGCGGGGAGGCGGGUGCCCUGGAGUCGGGAGCACUCUCUUCCAGAGUUCAAGGCCAGCCCCACUUCCUGAGUCACUCCAGGCCUCAGUUUCCUCAUCUGUAAAAUGGAGGGAAAUGCAAACCACCCCGUCCCUCUGCCCGGGAAACCCCAGAGGGGCUCAGGAGAGUUGGACGAGACUGAAACCAACAAAGCAAAGCUACAGGUGCGGCAAGGAGGCUGCCCGUGCCAGAUGUGCCCUGCACAUGAUGCUAGCGGUUUCCCGCCUGCUUGACUGGGCUGUUGUUAUUAUUUUACUGUUAUUGUUCAUUGGCUUAUAUGUCUCUGAGGUCAUAGUAAUAGCGGACAUUUAUUAAGCACCUACUGCGUGCCAGGCGAUGUGCCAAGUGACUUAUAAUUAUCAGCUAAUUUGAUUGUCCCGGUAUAACGUAAGUGCUAAUAUUAGCCCUGUUUUACAGGUGGGGAAACCGAGGCAAGCAGGGUGAAGUGACUUGCCUGGAGUCACCCAGCUAGUCAGUGUCAGAGGACGGAUUUGAACUCGGGUUUCCCCGACUUCCGACUCAGCGCUCUGCUCCUGGGAACGAGAGGGCCUUCCUGACACUUACACGUCCCCGUUCGGCGUGAGGGGAACUCCUCCGGCCGUGGCAAGCUGUCCAGCCGUCGCGGAAAGGACUUCAAGAGAGGGGCUCGCUUCAGGAAACAGGCUGGCAGGCUGCAGCAGCGCAGGCCCCUCGGCACGACUCCCCCGCGCCCCGGACUCUUCCUCGAGCCCCAGGGAUGGGCCCUGGCUGGAGGGGCCACGUGCCCUCCCUCCCCUGGGUGGUCUCCCAGACCCUCAGCCGGCUGCCAGCCCCACAAGCGAGCCAGUGGAAACUUCUCCUGGACCCGCCCCAAGCCACUCACUGAGGAAAAAAUGCUCUCCCGUCCCUAUUUUCGCUGGUUCCGGACCAGGAAAAUUCCCGAGGCAGCUUGGCCCAGCUCAAGCGAAUCCUGGCGAUGCCGUUCAAGCCCCUCUCCUUUAAAGCCUGUUGGGAGAAGGCACCGGAUCCGGGCCAGGGCACAGUUUUUUCUUUGUCCUUUUUUAGCUUUUUAUUUUCCAAACAUAAGCGUCGAUAACUUUCAACAUUCACUCCUGCCAGACCUUGAGUCCCAGAGUCUUUCUCCCGCCCUUAGACAUCAAGUAAUCCAACGUAUGUUUAACACGGGCAGUUCUUCUGUAGCUAUUUCCACCUUUAUUUUGCUGCACAAGAAAAAUCAGAUCAGAAAGGAAAGAAAAAGCCGGCGGACGACAGAAAGGCGGGCGCGCCACGUGCCAUCUCCGGGCCUUUCGGAAAUCAUCCUGCACGUAGAUUUUACCCAUACGCCCUCACGCGGGGCUUUCCAAUGGCUUCUGGCUUUUGUCGACACCUUGGCCAGUUGGGUAGAGCCUCUCCUUGCAGGACCGAGAAAGUCCAGGAAGGGAUUUAGUAAAAUCGAUUCCACCUGGCUUUGCUCUGCCUGGCUCCUGCAAGGGGCAGCGGUCCAGCACUGGCUGUUCAUUUGGUCCCCACAAGUGGGUGAAUAAUUCCAUUGUCAAAAUGUCAGUAGCGCGAGGGGGGCCCAGGAUUGUUGGGUUUAUGGCCCACAUCCCCAGGGUAGUCAGUAUCUCUGCCCAAAUGCAUUUUUUUUUUUUUUUGGCAAGAAUCCCUCUCCUUAAUGUUGUCUCUUGAAAGCUUUUCUCCCCCCUCCCCCUCUCUCUCCCCUCCCCCCGCUUCCCCCCCUCCCCAUACCCUACUUCUUGACAGGGGGAUUAUUCCCUUGCUUGGAAAUCAAGCUCCAUAGCCACGAAGUGGUCCAAGACCCCAGUUAAUGUUGUGCCACCGUUCCCUUUUAAUGCCCUGACCCAGUUUCCCUAAUUGUCCUAUUCGGUUACUCUGCCUCAGGUUAUAACCAUUCCCUCUUAAGGUUAGGAUAAAAGUCUUAUAUCUUAGACCUUAGGCUGUAAUCAUUCCCUCCUAAUGUUUGAUGGGACAAAGGUCUUCAUCCAUUUUAGACAUUAGAAUAUCAGGAGCCUCUCCGGUACCUCCCAUUGUGUCAUCCUCGGUGCCUCCCCCAUUAGCUUAUCCCCAUCCAGGUGCCUCCCCCAUUAUGUCAUUGUUCUUGUUACCCUAUAAAAGAUUCUUGUAUCUGAUAUUCCCGGCUGGAUUCUUUGAGGGGACGGUCUCAUUCAGCCCUGAGACCAAACCAUGGAUCCAUCGGUCCCAGUAAAUCUGUCCACUUAAUAAAUUAUUAAAUACUCUCUAAUCUCUCUCUUGCUCAGUUUCUCCUGCAUUACAUAGAAAGGUUUGUGUCUGGCUCUUUCGGCCCAGUAGAAUUUCCCCCUCUCUGAAGUUUGCUUUUAAGUUAAAUUAAAUAUAACCUCAGCUCCCAAAGCAUCCUCUCCUUGGGGGUCUUGGCUCCAAGACCCCCCCACUUUGGGUCCCCUUUCUCCCGCUCCUUUCUGGCCAAGGUUUGCCGGAUGUUUCCUUCAGACUCCAGGAUGCGUCUCCAAAACUUUGCUCACCCCUGGCUCAAGGCAAGGACUCACCACCUACUGGAUCUGGCCCCGGUCAGGAGGACUUUCGAGGUAGGGACAACCUCAGCAGGAAGUGGCUUCAGAAGAAGAGAUUUCCAUCCCUCGCCCCCAAAGCUUUUGGGUCCGGUUUGUUUGUGGGGAGAAUCGAGGAGAUCCAGGUAUGCGGGUGAGCUUCCGCAGAGAAAUCAUUGUAAACCAGCUGAAAGCCUGGCUGUGCCCCGGGGCAAUCAGGGAGGAGCACUGAUAGGGAUUAUCUCAAUCUGAAGCGAUCCUUUUGUUCCUGGCUUUGACGAGAUCUUCUGAACCUCAGAGUUUACUUAUCCCAGAAAGGCAAGUUAGGAUGCCAACUCCCCCCCCACCUUCCCAGGUUAAAUUUUCCCUAUAAAAGAUCUCAUGUUGUAGAACCUUGCUCAGGAGAUGACCCGGACCCAGUAGCUAUUUUCUCAAUUCUCCCAGAAUUCUCCUCGCUAAGGCUAACUAUAGCUAUGUAUCGGGGGUCAUCUGCUAACUUCUCUUGUAAUUUAGCCCACUUUUAACAGUGUGAUCAAAUCUCGAUUUGGAGGAAGUCCAAGCCUACAGAUUUGUUUGAGAUGAUCCACAUCACCGGACCAUAAACCCAACUUCCUUUGGGGCUAUUGAAAUGGGAAACCUGAAGAAACUUUCUCAAAGAGAAAGCUACCUUGAACUUUCCCUCUGUACCUACCCGACCCGAGGCAAACCUCUUUACAAAAUCUCCUGAUUGUCUUAGGGGCUUUCUUAGUGACUUUCAGAAAAAAACUUUCCUAUUCUUUGCCAUAGAUAA